CAGACACUCCCCAUCCAACCUGAUAGAGCUUGAGAAGUGCUGCAAAGAGGAAUGGACAAAACUGCCCAAAGAUAGGUGCACCAAGCUUGUGACAUCAUAUUCAAGAAAACCUGAGGCUGUAAUCGCUGCCAAAGAUGCAUCAACAAAUUAUUG
This is a long non-coding RNA of Thalassophryne amazonica, 153 nucleotides long. RefSeq lists it as uncharacterized. Lineage: Eukaryota; Metazoa; Chordata; Actinopteri; Batrachoidiformes; Batrachoididae. The record is from RefSeq and is a predicted model, not a curated record. The transcript is spliced from 3 exons.